UAGGGAAUAUUGGGCAAUGGGCGGAGGCCUGACCCAGCCAUGCCGCGUGCAGGAAGACGGCGUUCUGCGUUGUAAACUGCUUUUACACGGGAAGAAAAGGCCCAUGCGUGGGACAUUGCCGGUACCGUGUGAAUAAGCACCGGCUAACUCCGUGCCAGCAGCCGCGGUAAUACGGAGGGUGCGAGCGUUGUCCGGAUUUAUUGGGUUUAAAGGGUGCGUAGGCGGCCCUUUAAGUCGGCGGUGAAAGUUUAUGGCUCAACCAUGAAAUUGCCGUUGAUACUGGGGGGCUUGAGUGCCGGUGGGGUACAUGGAAUUUAUGGUGUAGCGGUGAAAUGCAUAGAUACCAUAAGGAACACCGAUAGCGAAGGCAUUGUACUUACCGGCGACUGACGCUGAGGCACGAAAGCGCGGGUAGCGAACAGG
This 423-nucleotide ribosomal RNA is filed under the name uncultured bacterium. RNAcentral's name for it is "bacterial SSU rRNA". It matches the Rfam family "Bacterial small subunit ribosomal RNA", at positions 355 to 776 of the family's 1533-position model. The record is from RNAcentral.